This 518-nucleotide ribosomal RNA is filed under the name uncultured bacterium. RNAcentral's name for it is "bacterial SSU rRNA". It matches the Rfam family "Bacterial small subunit ribosomal RNA", at positions 29 to 518 of the family's 1533-position model. The record is from RNAcentral.
ACGAACGCUGGCGGCGUGCCUAAUACAUGCAAGUCGAACGGCUUUUCUAUGGAAGCUUGCUUCCACUGAGAAGAUAGUGGCGAACGGGUGAGUAACACGUGGGUAACCUGCCCAUAAGAGGGGGGAUAACAUCCGGAAACGGGUGCUAAUACCGCAUAGUUUUCUUGAUCGCAUGAUCGGGAAAGGAAAGACGGCCUUUGUGCUGUCGCUUAUGGAUGGACCCGCGGCGUAUUAGUUAGUUGGUGAGGUAACGGCUCACCAAGACGAUGAUACGUAGCCGACCUGAGAGGGUGAUCGGCCACAUUGGGACUGAGACACGGCCCAAACUCCUACGGGAGGCAGCAGUAGGGAAUCUUCCGCAAUGGACGAAAGUCUGACGGAGCAACGCCGCGUGAGUGAAGAAGGUUUUCGGGAAUCGUAAAACUCUGUUGUCAGAGAAGAACAAGUUGGAGAGUAACUGCUCCAGCCUUGACGGUAUCUGACCAGAAAGCCACGGCUAACUACGUGCCAGCAGCUGC